Molecule: long non-coding RNA, 1300 nt
Organism: Dermochelys coriacea (leatherback sea turtle)
Lineage: Eukaryota; Metazoa; Chordata; Testudines; Dermochelyidae
Exons: 4
Source: RefSeq, a predicted model, not a curated record
UAACUAAUACUUAAGGGGUGUGCAAUUUGGCCAUGUUAUGGUUCCCAUAGCAACCAUAGUGAAAUUCUUACCUGUAUUGCCUGUAAAAUCUCAGCCCUAACAGGUCAGUGUAGACCGCAUUUCAUUUCUUGUUUGUAAUGAGGCCCAUGGAUCCUUGACAGUGGGGCUCUCCUCUAUGCGGCCUUGGAGGAAGACCACAGGUGUCAGUCAGAGGCAGAGGUGGUGUGACUCCACCUCAGAAACCUCCUGCUUAGGUCUGGUUCUCCAGCUGCAAAUAGGGAGACCAGCUACUCCCUGCUGCAGAGCAACUUUAAGAAGAAAAUGCUUAACAUUUCUAGGCCAUGAGGAUCUGCCUUUAGUGUCAGAGAGGAUAGUCACAGGGAUGCCCUAUGCUCCCGCACAAGGAGUGCAGAAUGGCAGAGAAGGUGAAGAAGAGAGGGAAAGCCAGAUACCAUGGCUCCUGCACGUCCCCCUCUGACUGAGGGCCUUCAUGGAGAUCUGUCUAUGCUGUUCUGCGGAGACUCAGGCCCCUCUCAAGUGCUCAGGAAGAGGCAGAGUUUCCUGUAGCCUCCCUCCCUCCCAGGACUGCCUUGGGAAGUGCUCUCAGGAAGCAGUGGCAGCUCCUCAGCAGCGAAAUCCCCUCAGGCCUGGCAGAGGGAGAAGCAAUGGCCUUGGGAUUAGUACAAGUGGCAGUUCCCCCAUUCCCCUCAUGUGGCAGGACAGGGGAAUACGGAUUGAAACCCAAAAUCAGAGGUCCAAGGAAUCUUCCUGUUCCCAACCAGCCACUGGAGCCUGAACUCGCAGCCAUGAGUAAUUGUGAAGGCGUUACCCAGCCCUUCUCCCCGCUGCAGUGCCAGGGAGCUACUGACAGGGAUCCGGAGACACCAGCGAGAGCCAGUUACACUAGGUCAUCUGCUGCAUCAGAGGCUAUUCCACAUGGUGCACUGGGCUGUGCGGGUUCAUUACCAAUUCUCUACAGACCUACUGCAUCCUGCAGGGCAGGAAAAGGGCGCAUAUUAGGAAUGAAAAUGCUCAAGCAGAGAUGCUCAUGCUGGACUCUAAACAAGCAGAGACCCCAUUCAAAAGUUAAAAAUGUACAGAAAGGAAAUAAGAGCCUACACGCUGACCCCCAGGCUCGUGGGUUUGUCUAGUGUCUUGCUAAAACCAGUCACCAGCUCCACCAUUACUGAUGUCAGGACCAAGUGUGAGAUAAUUAUAGCUUCUCCAGCUGACUACUGGACCUCUUAAUAUGCCCAAAGUGACUAAGGCUCCAGACUAACACGGCUGCUUCUCUGAAACC